This 460-nucleotide ribosomal RNA is filed under the name uncultured bacterium. RNAcentral describes it as "partial 16S ribosomal RNA". It matches the Rfam family "Bacterial small subunit ribosomal RNA", at positions 338 to 795 of the family's 1533-position model. The record is from RNAcentral.
CCUACGGGAGGCAGCAGUGAGGAAUAUUGGUCAAUGGACGAGAGUCUGAACCAGCCAAGCAGCGUGAAGGAUGACUGCCCUAUGGGUUGUAAACUUCUUUUAUAUGGGAAUAAAAUGUUCCACGUGUGGGAUUUUGUAUGUACCAUAUGAAUACGGAUCGGCUAACUCCGUGCCAGCAGCCGCGGUAAUACGGAGGAUCCGAGCGUUAUCCGGAUUUAUUGGGUUUAAAGGGAGCGUAGGUGGAUUGUUAAGUCAGUUGUGAAAGUUUGCGGCUCAACCGUGAAAUUGCAGUUGAAACUGGCAGGCUUGAGUACAGUAGAGGUGAGCGGAAUUCGUGGUGUAGCGGUGAAAUGCUUAGAUAUCACGAAGAACUCCGAUUGCGAAGGCAGCUCACUGGACUGCAACUGACACUGAGGCUCGAAAGUGUGGGUAUCAAACAGGAUUAGAUACCCUUGUAGUC